This 567-nucleotide ribosomal RNA is filed under the name Halomonas sp. LARAN20. Its description in RNAcentral is "bacterial SSU rRNA". It matches the Rfam family "Bacterial small subunit ribosomal RNA", at positions 90 to 653 of the family's 1533-position model. Lineage: Bacteria; Pseudomonadati; Pseudomonadota; Gammaproteobacteria; Oceanospirillales; Halomonadaceae. The record is from RNAcentral.
GGCGAGCGGCGGACGGGUGAGUAAUGCAUAGGAAUCUGCCCGGUAGUGGGGGAUAACCUGGGGAAACCCAGGCUAAUACCGCAUACGCCCUACGGGGGAAAGCAGGGGCUCUUCGGACCUUGCGCUAUCGGAUGAGCCUAUGUCGGAUUAGCUGGUUGGUGAGGUAAUGGCUCACCAAGGCGACGAUCCGUAGCUGGUCUGAGAGGAUGAUCAGCCACAUCGGGACUGAGACACGGCCCGAACUCCUACGGGAGGCAGCAGUGGGGAAUAUUGGACAAUGGGCGCAAGCCUGAUCCAGCCAUGCCGCGUGUGUGAAGAAGGCCCUCGGGUUGUAAAGCACUUUCAGUGGGGAAGAACGCCUUCCGGCUAAUACCCGGGAGGAAAGACAUCACCCACAGAAGAAGCACCGGCUAACUCCGUGCCAGCAGCCGCGGUAAUACGGAGGGUGCGAGCGUUAAUCGGAAUUACUGGGCGUAAAGCGCGCGUAGGUGGCUUGAUAAGCCGGUUGUGAAAGCCCCGGGCUCAACCUGGGAACGGCAUCCGGAACUGUCAGGCUAGAGUGCAGGA